This 497-nucleotide ribosomal RNA is filed under the name uncultured bacterium. Its description in RNAcentral is "partial 16S ribosomal RNA". It matches the Rfam family "Bacterial small subunit ribosomal RNA", at positions 28 to 507 of the family's 1533-position model. The record is from RNAcentral.
GAUGAACGCUGGCGGCGUGCCUAAUACAUGCAAGUCGAGCGAACGGACGAGAAGCUUGCUUCUCUAAUGUUAGCGGCGGACGGGUGAGUAACACGUGGAUAACCUACCUAUAAGACUGGGAUAACUUCGGGAAACCGUAGCUAAUACCGGAUAAUAUUUUGAACUGCAUGGUUCAAAAGUGAAAGACGGUCUUGCUGUCACUUAUAGAUGGAUCCGCGCUGCAUUAGCUAGUUGGUAAGGUAACGGCUUACCAAGGCAACGAUGCAUAGCCGACCUGAGAGGGUGAUCGGCCACACUGGAACUGAGACACGGUCCAGACUCCUACGGGAGGCAGCAGUAGGGAAUCUUCCGCAAUGGGCGAAAGCCUGACGGAGCAACGCCGCGUGAGUGAUGAAGGUCUUCGGAUCGUAAAACUCUGUUAUUAGGGAAGAACAUAUGUGUAAGUAACUGUGCACAUCUUGACGGUACCUAAUCAGAAAGCCACGGCUAACUACGUG